GUUCAGAGUCAACCACAUUGCUGUGGGCCUGGAGUCUCAUAUAGGUCAGACCAGGUCUGACCACAGCCAGGAUCCCUUGGCAUCUCCAGGCAUUAAAGGUUAACCUCAAGAAUACGACUGCAAACAACUCAACAGAAAAACCACAAAGGGAAAUGCAAGUGUUUUAUUUUGGUUUUACGAACGCUCAGUCUUUAUUUUUGCCAGAAUGCAAAAUAAACAAACAAACAAACAGUCAAGAGGCUUUGGAAUGGGGAAGAAAAGAGUUUCAUUCAUUUUCCAAACCACCUGGGAAGCAGUGGCCAGUGACGACAGAUGUGUCAGGGGAAAUACAAAGUCUAGGCACAUGGUUACAUGGUAACCUACAGGGAUGUGUCAAUAAAGAGUUGGCAAGUCCAGCUGCAAACCCUCUCAUCCUUGAGAGAAACAAAAUGCACCAAUCACUCAUUCCACUCCACCCAUUUUCAGUCACUGAUACAGGAGUUAAAUGUUGGGUCUACAAAUAUUCUCCUCCUCUUAAACUAGAACUAACUGUGGCUGUUCACUGGUAUAGAAAUAUUUCAGCUCUGAUCACCCAAAUUACAAAACUCUACACUCAACUGUUGCCUUAAACGGACUUCGAAAUACUACCAAAACAAAAACUAUGUGCGUUUUUUUAAGACCUUUCAGCCAGGUGGUCCAUUCAUUUGGACUGUCUUCCCUUCUGUUCCAAGACAUUGGGACAGGGUUGACUGUUUUAUCAGCAGCGGGUAGCUGUCACAAACUGUACAAAAAACAUGAGAUAAACUUGCAUUUCCAUUUUUACAACUCCCAAGUUCACAUGACCUUCUCUCCAAUGCUUUCUUUCUUACAGAGCCAAAAAGAGAAACAUUGUGCAGAAUCGAAAGCACAAAUCUGCUCACCAUCAUUCUGCAUCAUUGGACAACAAAAAAAAAAGUUUUCACUCCACUUAAUAAUGCUGCAGAACACCGAUAGGCUCAUCAAAUAUUGUAAAAUGUGUCUUGAGUAAUAGUCUUGGUUUUCCUUGUUUUAUAACAGGCAAUUCUCUGACUCUAUUGACGAAAGGUAUCUCGUUACUUGAAAAAGAUCUUGUCCAUGUUAUGUUUAACGUCUUCAGUGGGAUGCAAAGGUUAUAUUUUGCAGUGUGACCAGAAAACAGUAUGUCUUUCAACUUACUCCAGAAAUCUGAAGACAGCAUCUAAGACUUAAUGUAGUACUGUCAGAGCGGUCAUUCAAGGACAUGGAAGACAAUGUCCUUCAAUCAAGGAAAUUAACAGAGACCCGAGGAACACAAGGCACUAUUCAAAGAGCAAGGUCCCGUUGUCCCAGGCAAUAACCUUCCUCACUGUGCACUACAGCACCUAUUUUGGUGUCUUCUGCAAACUUACCAACCAUACCUCCCUUUAUUCACAUCUAAAUCAUUAUAGAAAUGACAAACAACAGUGGACCACUACAGCUUCUCAGCUCUUCCUACCUUCUGGAGUGUGGAUUAGUACAGUCAUAGCAGAUGGUCAAGAAAAUCACUAUGGAUUUAAAAUUGACCCUGGAAUCCACAGGUUACACAUGGUUCUGUUUUCCAGUGUAGAGUUUCAUGAACUGUGGUUAGUCCACAAUUGUUAUAUAUAGAUUUAGCAUAACUUCCGUGUUUGUUAAUUCAGUUGUACUAGAAAGUGCUUUUAUUUGCAUUUUUGAUUUGGUGAGAUACUGUAAAGUGGUCACCCAUGCUGAUAUGUUUUUCCUUCCUACCUUGUCUGCUAAAAAAAAAUUCCAUUUACUCACUGUGACAACCAUUCCCUGAAUUAUUAAACAUCAUCCCUCCCACAGUCAAGCCGAUGACUUAUGGCAAUACCGACCCUGUGGGACUCCCCAUUAAGCAGCCAACUGUAAAACCGGAUGCUUCCUCUGCAAAAAACCAUUCUGCAAGUUUCUGGGGCACAGAAUCUGUUUCCCGAGCGGAACAAACAGAUUUUACCUCAUACGUCUUUACCCACCGUCACCAGGUGGCCUCAAAAAUCAAGUGUUGCAGAAUGAAAAUAAAUAUUUACAGCUGUCAAUUUGGACUCAAAGAACACAAAAGGAAAAAAAAGUGACAAAACAAAAUAUCACGUUACAACACUAAAUCAAAAAGCGUUAGCACAGGGACAAAAUCUUGGCCAGAAUUCCAGAAAAAUUGCCCUGUUUUUCAAAAAAAAAAAACAGGCGAUGGGAUCUUUCACAACCAUCAUGAAGGGCACAAAAGGAUUUCAUCUGAA
Long non-coding RNA from Rhincodon typus (whale shark), 2249 nucleotides. RefSeq lists it as uncharacterized. The transcript has 2 exons. Lineage: Eukaryota; Metazoa; Chordata; Chondrichthyes; Orectolobiformes; Rhincodontidae. The record is from RefSeq and is a predicted model, not a curated record.